UACGGGGGGGGCAAGCGUUACUCGGAAUUACUGGGCGUAAAGCGUGCGCAGGCGGCUUUGCAAGACAGAUGUGAAAUCCCCGGGCUCAACCUGGGAACUGCAUUUGUGACUGCAUGGCUAGAGUGCGGCAGAGGGGGAUGGAAUUCCGCGUGUAGCAGUGAAAUGCGUAGAUAUGCGGAGGAACACCGAUGGCGAAGGCAAUCCCCUGGGCCUGCACUGACGCUCAUGCACGAAAGCGUGGGGAGCAAACAGG
RNAcentral lists this ribosomal RNA (253 nucleotides) under uncultured bacterium. RNAcentral describes it as "partial 16S ribosomal RNA". It matches the Rfam family "Bacterial small subunit ribosomal RNA", at positions 524 to 776 of the family's 1533-position model. The record is from RNAcentral.